This 434-nucleotide ribosomal RNA is filed under the name uncultured bacterium. RNAcentral's name for it is "bacterial SSU rRNA". It matches the Rfam family "Bacterial small subunit ribosomal RNA", at positions 958 to 1392 of the family's 1533-position model. The record is from RNAcentral.
AACGCGAAGAACCUUACCAAAUCUUGACAUCCUUCUGACCGACUCGUAAUGGAGUCUUUCCUACGGGACAGAAGAGACAGGUGGUGCAUGGUUGUCGCCAGCUCGUGUCGUGAGAUGUUGGGUUAGGUCCCGCAACGAGCGCAACCCUUAUCCUUAGUAGCCAGCAGUUCGGCUGGGCACUCUGGGGAGACUGCCAGGGAUAACCUGGAGGAAGGUGGGGAUGACGUCAAAUCAUCAUGCCCCUUAUGAUUUGGGCUACACACGUGCUACAAUGGCGUAAACAGAGGGAAGCGAAGCCGUGAGGUGGAGCAAAUCCCAAAAAUAACGUCUCAGUUCGGAUUGUAGUCUGCAACUCGACUACAUGAAGCUGGAAUCGCUAGUAAUCGCGAAUCAGAAUGUCGCGGUGAAUACGUUCCCGGGUCUUGUACACACCG